UACGUAGGGGGCAAGCGUUGUCCGGAAUUAUUGGGCGUAAAGAGCGUGUAGGCGGCCAGACAGGUCCGUUGUGAAAACUGGAGGCUCAACCUCCAGACGUCGAUGGAAACCGUCUGGCUAGAGUCCGGAAGAGGAGAGUGGAAUUCCUGGUGUAGCGGUGAAAUGCGCAGAUAUCAGGAAGAACACCCGUGGCGAAGGCGGCUCUCUGGGACGGUACUGACGCUGAGACGCGAAAGCGUGGGGAGCGAACAGGA
Molecule: ribosomal RNA, 254 nt
Filed under: uncultured prokaryote
Description: partial 16S ribosomal RNA
Rfam family: Bacterial small subunit ribosomal RNA
Source: RNAcentral